This is a long non-coding RNA of Hordeum vulgare subsp. vulgare (domesticated barley), 660 nucleotides long. RefSeq lists it as uncharacterized. NCBI's taxonomy places the organism in Eukaryota, Viridiplantae, Streptophyta, Magnoliopsida, Poales, Poaceae. The record is from RefSeq and is a predicted model, not a curated record. The transcript has 5 exons.
CCGAGGCGAGCCACUCCCUUCGUUCAUAAGGAUAGGUGGUUUCGAUAUUUCAUUCAAACAUUUCAGCAACGGGCUCAAAAAGCGGGCUCAUGUGAACAAUGAGGUGAUGUCACUCUAUAUUGAAAGUUUCAACAUUGAGCACAUGUAAAGUUCAAGCAAGCCAAGGAAGUUUGCAUUCUCACCACAUGUUGCUUCAAAACUCUGUGUGGACCCAAGUUCAUUCAAUACAAAUUCCUGCACGAAAGAUUUGAAAAGGGCCUGUGAGAAGAACGACAUUGCCAAAGCUGACCAAUUGUUCUUCACCAUUGUGAAACAAGACCAUUGGGCGGUCGUUGUUCUAAACUUGAUUCAUAAACAGUUCAAUGUGUUCGACUCCAACAUUAGAGACUCUGAUUAUGUCAGCAUCCUCGAGAAGCCUUGUUCCAAUUUGAUAGAGAACUUCAAAACUCUGGUGAGAGGAAGAAACCCUUGGAAGCACAAUCUUGACAUGUUUGAGUGCUUCAGUCCAUCAGGCUACCCACAACAGUCAACAACGUACUGUUUUCCGCAACUAUACAUUAUUUUUCUGGCAACUUUUUAUUUCAUAUAUGUGAUCUCAUUUUUCUCCAACCUUUUUUUUACUGGCAGAUUUGAUUGCGGCUUGUUUGCUAUUCUGUACAU